GAAUCUGCCUGGUAGUGGGGGAUAACGUCCGGAAACGGGCGCUAAUACCGCAUACGUCCUGAGGGAGAAAGUGGGGGAUCUUCGGACCUCACGCUAUCAGAUGAGCCUAGGUCGGAUUAGCUAGUUGGUGGGGUAAAGGCCUACCAAGGCGACGAUCCGUUACUGGUCUGAGAGGAUGAUCAGUCACACUGGAACUGAGACACGGUCCAGACUCCUACGGGAGGCAGCAGUGGGGAAUAUUGGACAAUGGGCGAAAGCCUGAUCCAGCCAUGCCGCGUGUGUGAAGAAGGUCUUCGGAUUGUAAAGCACUUUAAGUUGGGAGGAAGGGCAGUAAGUUAAUACCUUGCUGUUUUGACGUUACCAACAGAAUAAGCACCGGCUAACUUCGUGCCAGCAGCCGCGGUAAUACGAAGGGUGCAAGCGUUAAUCGGAAUUACUGGGCGUAAAGCGCGCGUAGGUGGUUCAGCAAGUUGGAUGUGAAAUCCCCGGGCUCAACCUGGGAACUGCAUCCAAAACUACUGAGCUAGAGUACGGUAGAGGGUGGUGGAAUUCUGUGUAGCGGUGAAAUGCGUAGAUAUAGGAAGGAACACCAGUGGCGAAGGCGACCACCUGGACUGAUACUGACACUGAGGUGCGAAAGCGUGGGGAGCAAACAGGAUUAGAUACCCUGGUAGUCCACGCCGUAAACGAUGUCGACUAGCCGUUGGGAUCCUUGAGAUCUUAGUGGCGCAGCUAACGCGAUAAGUCGACCGCCGUGGGGAGUACGGCCCGCAAGGUUUAAAACUCAAAUGAAAUUGACGGGGGGCCCGCACAAGCGGUGGGAGCAUGUGGGUUUAAUUCGAAAGCAACGCGAAAAAACCUUACCUGGGCCUUGACAUGCUGAGAAACUUAUCCAGAAGAUGGGAUUGGGUGCCCUUCGGGAAACUCAGAACACAGGG
This 938-nucleotide ribosomal RNA is filed under the name Pseudomonas aeruginosa. RNAcentral describes it as "bacterial SSU rRNA". It matches the Rfam family "Bacterial small subunit ribosomal RNA", at positions 122 to 1039 of the family's 1533-position model. Lineage: Bacteria; Pseudomonadati; Pseudomonadota; Gammaproteobacteria; Pseudomonadales; Pseudomonadaceae. The record is from RNAcentral.